RNAcentral lists this small RNA (125 nucleotides) under Marmota monax (woodchuck). Lineage: Eukaryota; Metazoa; Chordata; Mammalia; Rodentia; Sciuridae. The record is from RNAcentral.
GCCGGGCGCGGUGGCACAUGCCUGUAAUCCCAGUGGCUCAGGAGGCUGAGGCAGGAGGAUCACGAGUUCAGAGCCAGCCUUGGUAAAAGCAAGGUGCUAAACAUCACAGUGAGAUCCUGUCUCUA